GGGCUUGUAGUGUUGGAAGCCGUCACCGCAGAGAACCUGCAAGGGUCGGGGUUCGAUUCCCCGCAAGUCCA
RNAcentral lists this transfer RNA (71 nucleotides) under Caudoviricetes sp. RNAcentral describes it as "tRNA-OTHER". It matches the Rfam family "tRNA". Rfam says of the family: Transfer RNA (tRNA) molecules are approximately 80 nucleotides in length. Their secondary structure includes four short double-helical elements and three loops (D, anti-codon, and T loops). Lineage: Duplodnaviria; Heunggongvirae; Uroviricota; Caudoviricetes. The record is from RNAcentral.